AUGAUUAAGAUAGACCUUGCUAAAGCUUUUGAUCGUCUCGAAUGGAAUUUCAUUGUCGCAGCACUCUCACGUAAGGGCCUGCAUGGUCAUUUCAUCAAUCUUAUCCAUGCUUGUAUUUCAUUGCCCACCUUCUCUGUUGUCAUUAAUGGUCAGCCUUUUGCGAGGUUUCGUAGCGGCAGAGGUAUACGACAAGGUUGUCCCCUCUCUCCCUAUCUUUUUGUCCUUGCUAUUAGUGAAUUGUCGCUAGCGUUGUAGGAUGCUAUGUCCAAUAGCUUACUAGAAGGGGUCAUCCUAGGACCAGAUUGCCCUCCCAUUCACUCGCUGCUUUUUGCGGAUGAUCUCCUCAUCUGUGAUAAAGCAUCAAUCCAGGAUGCCGUGACAAUGAAGCAAAUCCUUGACUCCUUUUGUUCUGCUUCAGCCGAAUUGGAAUAA
This 432-nucleotide ribosomal RNA is filed under the name Triticum aestivum (bread wheat). RNAcentral's name for it is "partial small subunit ribosomal RNA". The record is from RNAcentral. Lineage: Eukaryota; Viridiplantae; Streptophyta; Magnoliopsida; Poales; Poaceae.